GUGGGGAAUAUUGGACAAUGGGCGAAAGCCUGAUCCAGCCAUGCCGCGUGUGUGAAGAAGGUCUUCGGAUUGUAAAGCACUUUAAGUUGGGAGGAAGGGUAGUAACCUAAUACGUUGCUACUUUGACGUUAGCGACAGAAUAAGCACCGGCUAACUUCGUGCCAGCAGCCGCGGUAAUACGAAGGGUGCAAGCGUUAAUCGGAAUUACUGGGCGUAAAGCGCGCGUAGGUGGUUUUGUAAGUUGGAGGUGAAAUCCCCGGGCUCAACCUGGGAACUGGCUCCAAAACUGCAUGACUAGAGUACGGUAGAGGGUAGUGGAAUUUCCUGUGUAGCGGUGAAAUGCGUAGAUAUAGGAAGGAACACCAGUGGCGAAGGCGACUACCUGGACUGAUACUGACACUGAGGUGCGAAAGCGUGGGGAGCAAACAGGAUUAGAUACCCGUGUAGUCC
RNAcentral lists this ribosomal RNA (450 nucleotides) under uncultured bacterium. Its description in RNAcentral is "partial 16S ribosomal RNA". It matches the Rfam family "Bacterial small subunit ribosomal RNA", at positions 354 to 796 of the family's 1533-position model. The record is from RNAcentral.